This 2479-nucleotide long non-coding RNA is filed under the name Malus domestica (apple). Its description in RNAcentral is "long non-coding RNA (MDOM_LNC019436)". The record is from RNAcentral. Lineage: Eukaryota; Viridiplantae; Streptophyta; Magnoliopsida; Rosales; Rosaceae.
CCAACUCACACCCUCUCUCUACCGCCGCAACAUUACUAAGUAUUCCUAACUUUGACCUUACCUUUUUGGCAAUCAAAUUCGCAUGCACAAAUUCAACUUGUUACGAAGUUACAAGCUCAAGCAAGGAAGAUAAGAUUCGUCUCAAAUCUAAUCUUACAGAUUCACUCUUUCACUUGAUUCCUAGGGCUUGCUCUCAACAAGUAUAUGGGAGUGAGGUUAUGUAAUGGAAAGCAAAAUAUUCUCACACAUAAUUCAAUUAUAAACAAAAGAACUUUCUGGACAAGAUCUCAUGAAAGGAAUCAAAUACUAAGAAUAGGAUAACACACAUACUUACUAACACCCAUGAAUACAUCCUUAAAGAUUAGCUAGGUCUUUCAUAAGGUUGUAAUGUAAGGUUUUUAGGAUAAGGGCUAUGAAAUGAUGGAUAAGGAAUAAUAGAACUUGAGAUAUACCAAAGUGUCUUCCUUACAAAACCAGCAUGUUUUCCUCUUGAAUUGAUCAUCUUCACUUGUUCUCGACAUCCAGAACCCAUGGAUUUAGAAAUUGCAUCUUCUUCUCUCUCUCUUUUUUGUUUUUUCUCUUCUUAAAACGUUUCUUUUUCCCAUUUUUAUUUUUUUAUAUUUUGCAAUUCCAACCCAUGUUACCUCGGUACAUGCCACUUUCUUAGUUUAAAGCUCAAGCAUUUUGUCCUCAUCACUUUGGUAUUCCCAAAGCUAUAGGGAAUGGCUAUUAUGGGGGAAAAUGGGUGUAGGGUUUAGUGUGGGUGAUGAAAGAUAUGGCUGUGUUUGGCUUCAAAAUGGGUAAUGUCUCACACAACAAAAGUAAGGAAUUAGGCCAUUUACUAGUUAAAACAUGCGUAGCCUAACAUCGUCUCAAUGAAUUUAUUCAUGGGUGAUAAUAAGCACAAGUAUCCACAAAAGAGAAUAACUCUUAGUUUUCAAUCAAAAAUGAAUAAUGAGAUCAUCUGAAAUGAAUUUGAAAGAAAAGUAUAGGAGGAGUAGAAAUAGUUUAAUCCCUCUAAAAGAAGCAAAUAGGCACAAAAUUUCACAAAAGAGUCUCCACUAUCGUUCUUCUAAGGAUUGAACUAGUAACUUUUCACAAGUAUUCUUAGAACUAAGAGCAGUGGUAUUAUAUAGCAGAUACAACAACUUUCAAAGCAUAGCCAAAGUUACAAUUGCAAGACUAAGUUAAACAUGUACAUUCCCAUUAUUUAAUUUCAAAUAGCUCUAAUCAUGACUCAAAAAGACUAAAAAUUCAAUACCACACACUUUGUAGCUGCUCUAAAGCAAUGGGCUGUUUUAAUGGAUUGAAAGACAUACAACUAAAAAAUAAAUAAAAAAUUUAGUUAGUAAGCUAAACUAAAAGGAAUUACAAAGUUCUUUAAGCGCAGUCCCCGACAACGGUGCCAUUUUAUUGAAGUUCCUUUCAAGUGCAAAUAUAAGGAUAGUAUAGCGGCACAAGUAAGGGUAUCGAACCACAAGAACUGAGAAGCUGAUGCGAAUUUUAACUUAACACACAAAUUAAACCCUCUUGUUGUCAAAUUGUAGUAUAAAUGCAAGUAGGGAUCGUUCUAAACCGGGGAUUAUGAGGGCAUGCUAAAACCUCUAAACUGACUUUAAAACAUAUAAACAAAGUUAAAAACACUAAACUAGACUCAAAGAACUUAAAACAAACUCAAAGGACUCAAAACAAGCUAAAAACGAUCAAAUCUGCCUAAAAACACAAACUGGGCAGAUUUGGACUCUAACACAUUUUUGGGACACCUAAAAACGCAAAUCAAAAUAGAUUUUGACUAAUAAAACACUUUAAAGUAAAGGGGGUUUUGGUUUUGACGAAUUUGAAAACAAAACAAGUAAAUUAAAGAACUAAUGAAAUCUGCAUGAAUUUGAGUAAAUUGAAUGGAUGGAAGGCUAGCUAAGAGGUUCUUCUCCACACAUGACAUACUUGCACAUAAACCAAUUUUCAGUUGUUCUUUCGAUCAAUCAUGAAACUCAACACCCCAGGUUAAUUAAGUCCGCUUAAAUUAACCUUCAAGUUCUCCUUAAGUUAUUGAAUUGGAUGGGAAAGCGCAUACAACAAUUCAAGGAUUCUUCAAAAGUUCUUUACGUGAACAGCACAAUAACGAUACAAUCAAAGAUCAUUAAGCAUUAUGAAAACUAUAAGUAUUGACGAGGCAUUCGUUACUAUGAUGAGUAUGAAACUCAUGCCAAGAAUUUAUUUAAUGCGAUCGUUUAUAAGCGACCUCCACUACUUGUGAAUAUAAGUUUGUAACUAUUAGGUGAAACUCCCUUAUACUCUAGCAUCAUAUUCAUGCAUUUCUUUAACGCGAUCGUUUAUAAGCGACCUCCACUACUUGUGAAUAUAAGUUUGUAACUAUUAGGUGAAACUCCCUUAUACUCUUGCAUCAUAUUCAUGCAAGCAAACUAAGUGUGCACUCUUAAUAAACAUACACGAAUAAGUUAUCAAUCAAGCAGUUAAA